This 462-nucleotide ribosomal RNA is filed under the name uncultured Acidovorax sp. Its description in RNAcentral is "bacterial SSU rRNA". It matches the Rfam family "Bacterial small subunit ribosomal RNA", at positions 919 to 1382 of the family's 1533-position model. Lineage: Bacteria; Pseudomonadati; Pseudomonadota; Betaproteobacteria; Burkholderiales; Comamonadaceae. The record is from RNAcentral.
ACCCGCACAAGCGGUGGAUGAUGUGGUUUAAUUCGAUGCAACGCGAAAACCUUACCCACCUUUGACAUGUACGGAAUCCUUUAGAGAUAGAGGAGUGCUCGAAAGAGAGCCGUAACACAGGUGCUGCAUGGCUGUCGUCAGCUCGUGUCGUGAGAUGUUGGGUUAAGUCCCGCAACGAGCGCAACCCUUGUCAUUAGUUGCUACAUUCAGUUGGGCACUCUAAUGAGACUGCCGGUGACAAACCGGAGGAAGGUGGGGAUGACGUCAAGUCCUCAUGGCCCUUAUAGGUGGGGCUACACACGUCAUACAAUGGAUGGUACAAAGGGUCGCCAACCCGCGAGGGGGAGCCAAUCUCAUAAAGCCAUUCGUAGUCCGGAUCGCAGUCUGCAACUCGACUGCGUGAAGUCGGAAUCGCUAGUAAUCGUGGAUCAGAAUGCCACGGUGAAUACGUUCCCGGGUCUU